This 380-nucleotide unclassified non-coding RNA is filed under the name uncultured bacterium. RNAcentral describes it as "contains 16S-23S intergenic spacer region". The record is from RNAcentral.
UCCGGUUUGUCACCGGCAGUUUCAUUAAAGUGCCCAACUAAAUGAUGGCAAUUAAUGACAAGGGUUGCGCUCGUUGCGGGACUUAACCCAACAUCUCACGACACGAGCUGACGACAGCCAUGCAGCACCUGUGUUACCGUUCCCUUUCGGGCACACCCACUUCUCGGCGGGCUUCGGUACAUGUCAAGCCUAGGUAAGGUUCUUCGCGUUGCGUCGAAUUAAACCACAUGCUCCACCGCUUGUGCGGGCCCCCGUCAAUUCCUUUGAGUUUCAGCCUUGCGGCCGUACUCCCCAGGCGGGGCACUUAAUGCGUUAGCUACGGCACAGAGACCGUGGAAUGGCCCCCACACCUAGCGCCCACCGUUUACGGCGUGGACUAC